UAAGUCUGUAGUGAAGCGUUCGGCUCAACCGAAUAAACAUUAUGGAAACUGUACAGCUAGAGGACGAGAGAGGUUAUUGGAAUUCCCAGUGUAGGAGUGAAAUCCGUAGAUAUUGGGAGGAACACCGAUGGCGUAGGCAGAUAACUGGCUCGUUCCUGACACUAAGGCACGAAAGCGUGGGGAGCAAACGGGAUUAGAUACCCCGGUAGUCCACGCCGUAAACGAUGGAUGCUA
Molecule: ribosomal RNA, 234 nt
Filed under: uncultured Candidatus Saccharibacteria bacterium
Lineage: Bacteria; Candidatus Saccharimonadota
Description: partial 16S ribosomal RNA
Rfam family: Bacterial small subunit ribosomal RNA
Source: RNAcentral